Corythoichthys intestinalis (scribbled pipefish) is the source of this 2116-nucleotide long non-coding RNA. RefSeq lists it as uncharacterized. The record is from RefSeq and is a predicted model, not a curated record. Lineage: Eukaryota; Metazoa; Chordata; Actinopteri; Syngnathiformes; Syngnathidae. The transcript has 4 exons.
CAAAAACAAACUUGUCUGUCAACUAUUACUGUACAUAAUAGGAAAAAAGGCUUUGUUGUUGGGACAUAUUUUACGAUCUGCACACAUGGGCAACUGUAGCUUACUUUCAUAAAAUUGGCCUGAAUCAAGAAAUGGCUAAGAGAUAGCCUUGCAGGUGACAAGAAGGAUUUUCAGAUUUGGGGAAAGCAUGUAAUAUUUUAUCAUUGUUGGACCUGCCACACCAGCUCCUUGAGUCCUGCCUCCUGGCCUGUUAUCAUUGUUAACAGGUUGGGCACCAAAUGGGUGUAGCAACGACCAGAGGAAUGUCAUCAGCUGUAUGGCAACACGCUCAACAGGAAGUGUCAUCGACCAACCAACACGUGAUACACAGUACUGGAUGAUAUCCACAGGAAGACUGGGCUGAAGUUGGUGGGCUCCACAGAAUGUCUCCAACGGCAACUGGUGACAGAGAUGACCGCAGUGUCUCAGUAGUUGCUAGGGAGCUGGUCCUGGUUUGCCUGGUUGCUAGGUCAUGCGGUGCCGGAGUGAAUACACAUUUCACACUUGUAGUCCCUCGAGUUACUUCAGCCCUGCUUUGUCAUUUGUCUCAUUUGAUGCAGAGGCCCAUUUGUUCCUUUACUGAAACAUUGAAAUUAUUUUACAUUGAAUUAAGGUGUUCCCUUACUAAACAGAAUAACAGUAAAGCUGAUAUUGAGAUCUUUCCCAAGAGUCGACGUGCGGAAACAGCGUCCUCGACAUGCUGUAAUUUUGAAUGUGCUCUAAAUUACCUCCUACUGUAGGUGAUGAGAUUAUUAUUGUCAGAAUGACACAUAACUACAUGGGGGUUAACAGUUGGUUGGUGAAUGACUUUCAAGUGGGAUGAAAUCUUCAUCACAAAAAGAGGUUUUACAAAUGUAAAAUGAAUAAAUCUCCGGGUGCAUGUCAGUGCGGGGUGGCGAAGGGGUUCCCAUUGCCUCUAAGUAAUUAUUUCUUAGGAAGAUCUUUUAAUAAGAGUGUGUUUCAGAGUUACCAUGGCAACAAGGGCUUUCCUGCUCCUCUCAUCGGCUUGCACAGUGUUUGCUGUAUAAGACACGAUGUUAAGCGAUUUCACCCUUUCAGCAGUUGCUCCUCAGCAUCAUGUUGUGAAUUAGAUAUUUAUUGAUUCAGCCUGAACUACUUUCUCAUCUAAAGAAGAACACUGGGAACUACAUAAAAUUCACUACGAUGUCACACAAUAAGCAGCUAUGUUAUUGGAUGAGAAAACAUGGUAAAUGACUUGAAUGAAUGGUUAUUGUUCUUGCUGCGUGGCAUCAUGGCAUGGGAAGAGUCACUGGGAAGGAUGUAAUAUUCAUUUAAAUAGUUACUGUAAAUUGCUUUCAAAAUUUAACAUGGUGGAUAUUCAGACACUGCAUGAUCAUUAGGGAGUGGUUCAUACGUGAGACGGCAUUUAAUGCUCACCUUCUCACUAAGCUGUCAUAAGUGAAGUGAAUCAUCAUAAUGAAUAGCUUUUUGUUGGCGCAUGGUCACUUUUUUAUGCCCACUAUCUAUCAACUACGAUACUAUUAAUCUGCUGGUUGUGCGUUUAUUGGCAUAGAAACCGGAUUCCUUUUUUAACAUCCUGAGAUCAUCUCCCAUUUCAACAGGCUGCAAAAGUGCUGCUUUGGUUUGAAGUUUGCUGCCUUCAUAUUGUUUUGUCACUCAAAAAUUUGGUAACACUUUAUAAUAACUAUCCGUUUUACUAGUUAAUAGAUCAUUAGUAAACUGUUGAUAAAUGAUUUAUUGUUGAAUUGUGAAGUAUUUGUUAACAGUUUGUUAAGCAUUUACAGGGUGUUCCAAUAUGGUUGACCCCAUUCUAAAUGCCCAUGCUAGUUGAUGGAUCUUAAUAAAACCACAUACACUUUAUGUUGAAGGUCAUAAUUUUUAUUUGUUAAAUAUACAAAGAAAAGUACAAAUAUUUGUUGGUUCUAUGGCAGAUUUUUUCAUAAAUGUGAAACAUGAGCGCUGCCUGCAAAAUGCCUUAUCAAAAUGCCUUUUCUUUUGAAGUGAACGGCAUUUCUUAACCUGAAAAGAUAGAAAUGCCAAACGGUACACAUAAAAACUUGAAACGUUUCUACACAAACUGUGUUUCAGGUUAAGA